This 348-nucleotide small RNA is filed under the name Arabidopsis thaliana (thale cress). Its description in RNAcentral is "ATSL173490". The record is from RNAcentral. Lineage: Eukaryota; Viridiplantae; Streptophyta; Magnoliopsida; Brassicales; Brassicaceae.
CACAAUGAUAUGUGAUUUGUCGUACAUGAUUUUUUUUAUUUUUAUUUUUGAAUAGAAUGUUAAAUUAAAUUCAAAAGAAAGGUAUAGCGUUGUUACAACUAGUGCAACUUUUUUAAAAAUUUACAAAAGAAAAAAACAGAGAUUCUUGAUCUAGCUUAUGUUCCUCAGAGCGAGACAGAGUUGGAAUCUCCUAUCGUAUCUGUGGUGGCCAUUAGCUUUAAGUACCGAGAGCUGAUUACGGAUGAGUUUAUCAAUCCACGAGACUAAACGACUUGCUGAAUGUGGUGGUGUGCCAUGCUUUCGAUCAUUUCUCUCCCGCCAAAUAGAGUGGAUCGAAGCUUGAUUAAC